Molecule: ribosomal RNA, 450 nt
Filed under: uncultured bacterium
Lineage: Bacteria
Description: partial 16S ribosomal RNA
Rfam family: Bacterial small subunit ribosomal RNA
Source: RNAcentral
GUGGGGAAUUUUGGACAAUGGGCGCAAGCCUGAUCCAGCAAUGCCGCGUGCAGGAAGAAGGCCUUCGGGUUGUAAACUGCUUUUGUACGGAACGAAACGGCUCUGGUUAAUACCCGGGGCUAAUGACGGUACCGUAAGAAUAAGCACCGGCUAACUACGUGCCAGCAGCCGCGGUAAUACGUAGGGUGCAAGCGUUAAUCGGAAUUACUGGGCGUAAAGCGUGCGCAGGCGGUUUUGUAAGACAGGCGUGAAAUCCCCGGGCUCAACCUGGGAAUUGCGCUUGUGACUGCAGUGCUGGAGUACGGCAGAGGGGGAUGGAAUUCCGCGUGUAGCAGUGAAAUGCGUAGAUAUGCGGAGGAACACCGAUGGCGAAGGCAGUCCCCUGGGCCUGUACUGACGCUCAUGCACGAAAGCGUGGGGAGCAAACAGGAUUAGAAACCCCUGUAGUCC